RNAcentral lists this ribosomal RNA (464 nucleotides) under Vreelandella stevensii. RNAcentral describes it as "partial 16S ribosomal RNA". It matches the Rfam family "Bacterial small subunit ribosomal RNA", at positions 338 to 795 of the family's 1533-position model. The record is from RNAcentral. Lineage: Bacteria; Pseudomonadati; Pseudomonadota; Gammaproteobacteria; Oceanospirillales; Halomonadaceae.
CCUACGGGGUGCAGCAGUGGGGAAUAUUGGACAAUGGGCGAAAGCCUGAUCCAGCCAUGCCGCGUGUGUGAAGAAGGCCUUCGGGUUGUAAAGCACUUUCAGUGGGGAAGAAAGCCUUGGGGCUAAUACCCUCGAGGAAGGACAUCACCCACAGAAGAAGCACCGGCUACUCCGUGCCAGCAGCCGCGGUAAUACGGAGGGUGCGAGCGUUAAUCGGAAUUACUGGGCGUAAAGCGCGCGUAGGCGGUCUGAUAAGCCGGUUGUGAAAGCCCCGGGCUCAACCUGGGAACGGCAUCCGGAACUGUCAGGCUAGAGUGCAGGAGAGGAAGGUAGAAUUCCCGGUGUAGCGGUGAAAUGCGUAGAGAUCGGGAGGAAUACCAGUGGCGAAGGCGGCCUUCUGGACUGACACUGACGCUGAGGUGCGAAAGCGUGGGUAGCAAACAGGAUUAGAUACCCUUGUAGUC